UUUAUUUAUUUAUGUGGGAAUCAGAAGUUGUAGUUUUUGAGCAACGUUAGCAUGGCAAGCUAGCAAAAAAUGGCGUUCCUUCAAUGCUCCGAAUAUUGUGAAACUUCAGCACAGGAAUCCCUGACUUAAGCAGAACGGAAUGAUAUAACAUACAAUAUGACAAUAUUAAGAAUGUGGGCGUUGCUAACAAAAACUUCCGUUGCUAAGGAAAUCCAAAAAUGUACUUUUACCAAUUCUUCUAAAAGUGGCAUCGAUCUGUUCGUCACUCCCAGGCGAUCAAAAAAUUUAACGGUUGCUAUGGAGAUAAAACCAACAUAAAAGCCGCCAUUUUGAAAAAAGGAUUCUACUUGGCAGGAGUGGGUCGUCUGUGGGUUUUGUCACUUCCUGCUUUAAUUAUGCUAGUUUUUUUGUCACUAUUAGCAAAAUGAACAACAAGUUGAUUAAUACUAACUCAAGAAACACAGACUAAGGAAAUAUUAUUGGGAAAACCUCUGCAGUGUAGAGACGAGCCUGCAGGCGGACUGACAGGAAGGCAGCUGGGACGUCUGUAUCGAUCCGGAGACGAGCGGCGUCCUCCCAGAGCAGAGGAGACGAGGAAACACGAGGCAGGACCUCGCCGUUACAAGCCGCGCUUCCCUCCAUUCAGACCCACGAACGAGCUCUGUCGCCGCCGCGCACGCCGCAUCAUGUGAUCCCUUCCCGUCCUCUGUCGCUUCAAUUAAAAGCCUAAUGGAUGUUUUAGCGCUCUGCCACUUCGAUGACGGCGCCCUAAUCUGCCAGCGUUGGAUCUCUGCGAGGCUGAAGGAUGGCAGAAACGAGGAGGAGGAGGAGGGACGGCUUACAGGUUAGGAGGGGGGCACUGACAAUACAAUCAUGGUGAGACACUGCGGCGUGAGGAGUUUUUUCUGUUUUCACACGAGGCAGACCCAAAGGGGUGGUCCUGGUCAGGGCAUCUCGCCGGAGAGCCUGGUCUCACCUCGCUGACAUGGAAGCCACCCCGGCUGUCACUUUGCAUCUCCGACGCCCGGAGAGGGAGACCAUGACCAUCCUGACAGGGGCAGCAGAAGGAUUUCACUCCUGAACUUGUUGGCACGGCGAGACUGCAAUGUGUGUCUGUCUUCGAGUGUUUCUACCUCGGCGCGAUUGCACGCCCACAGAUCUCCCAGCUCCGUCGCAGCAGCAGCAACAAAAUAAUAAAUAAACCUCACAACUUUUUGUCACACUUCAAUCACAUAAUAUUACCCUGCCGCAUGUUGGGAAUUAAUAGAUGUGGGCUCCUCUUCUCUUCUCUUCUUCUUUUUUUGACUUUUCCUGAAAUGAUGAAUGAAUCCAUAAGUUGUAAACAAAGAGUUUUCCUUGGGGGUCAGCGUCCUGAAGCCGCAGCAUCGGCGCUCAAACGUUAUUCUCUGCUCUGUUCGUCAUCCUGGCAGUGAGAGCGAAUUCCACCAUCUUCCCUCUGCUGUGCAGCAUGUGGCCCUCCUUCAGAGGAAGGCAGGAGAUAU
Oryzias melastigma (Indian medaka) is the source of this 1502-nucleotide long non-coding RNA. RefSeq lists it as uncharacterized. Lineage: Eukaryota; Metazoa; Chordata; Actinopteri; Beloniformes; Adrianichthyidae. The transcript has 4 exons. The record is from RefSeq and is a predicted model, not a curated record.